This 1989-nucleotide unclassified non-coding RNA is filed under the name Hevea brasiliensis (rubber tree). The record is from RNAcentral. Lineage: Eukaryota; Viridiplantae; Streptophyta; Magnoliopsida; Malpighiales; Euphorbiaceae.
CGUUGCAAAAAUUUCUCCCUCUGAUCAGGUGCUAUUUCAGUUCUUGCACGAAAUUGUCCCAGUUCAUUCUGAUUUUGAAAGGAACCUCCAGGUCUCCACUGCAUGCCAGGGACCAAAGAAGGGGAAAAAACUCUUCCACCUAUUGCAGGAGCUUCACCAACAUUACUAGAGUCAACCAUACCUGUUCCAUCAUUAGUCUUGCCAGUCGGAGGCAAGAUCAUUCUAUUGCUUAGUGGGGAAGCCAAAGGUUGCACCAGUCCGCUACUCCCAAGUCUAUCAUCUGUUGAUAAAAUAUUUCUUUUUGUAACGUCCGAUGGUGAAGGUAGUGCACCGAGUGAUCCAUUGCUAGGAACUCCACCAGAACUAAGAGGGAUACUAGAUGAAGGAUGACUAGAGAGGCUACCUCUACCAAUGCCCCUAACUAGUCCAGUAUCAGCAAGAGCUGGUGACGGUCUAUGGCCAGGGAAACCUGCAAUUUCUUCCUCCUUCACAGAAUUUCCCGUUGUUGCAGGAGAUGAAGGAAUGGCAGCAGCUGCAUUUUCCAGUACACCUUGAACAGAACUUGCACCUGGAAGAAUUGAAGAGGCUGAUACACUAGAUAAUGUAUGAGCUGGAACACCGACAGAAACAGGAGUUGCAUGAUUCACAGUUGGUAUUGAAGCUGCAGAAGAACCAAUCAUGCUACUCUUGGCAGGUGGAGUUCUUGCAACAAUGUCAGGAUUACUAUCCUGUGAAGCUGUAUCAUCAGCUUGCUCCUGAACCAAAGUAGCCUGCUGAUGAGUAGACGUGGCAGUUGCAGGCAUUUGAGAUGCUGAAGCUGCUAAAGAUGUCUUCAAGCUGUGAACUGGUGCAACCUUGACAAGACCAGGAGUACCAAUUGUAACAAGAUCUUCAAGAGACUCCACCUUGUCCAAUGGCAAUGAGCUGUAAAGCUCAUCAACAUCACUAAAUUCAUCAAAGUCCUCCUGAUUACGUUCCACAUAGUCGUCCAGGAAGUCUUUAACAUCAUUGACCUGCUCAGGACUCAAUUCAUCGUUAUCCAGUAGCCUCAAGAUCCAUUCUAACUUCAUAAUAUGAGCCUUGUGCCGCACGAUAGAUGUCUCUAAAUGCGUCAAUCUAGGUGGUCUUGUCUUCCCUUUCUUAACAGAUAGCCCCUCAAUUUCAGAUUCAAAGCUAUCAAUCUGUGAUUCCAACUCUCCAACCACAUUGUUUAACCAAUCCCUUGUUUCUGAUUUAGCCUUCUCCUUUGGAUCAGUUUUCGGUUGUUGGCCCAGCCCUUCUUUAGAAAAUGCCUUUGUUUUUGUUUCCUUCUCGCAGAUCUUAAAUCUCUCCAUUUCACGCUCAAUUUGCUUACGAGCAUCCACUAAAGCCUGCUCAUAAGAGGCACUAACCUUCUUAUCCUUGAUCUCACUAGAUUGAAUCCAUGUUUUGAUUUGAUCCCUGUACCUCUGCAGCUUUUUUAUCUCCUUCUUUAAGUCCGCCUCAAAUUUCUCUUUCUGAUUUGCGUUGUCUGUAUCAUAAACCUUGUUCCAGAUGCUGUCAAAGACAUCGACGCCUUCUUGGACCUUCUUCAGAACGCGAUCAAUCUCGCCUUGAAGCUUGCGGCUUGCUCCCAUUGUGCAAAUAGAGAACCGUGAAUAGAAUAGCGGGUUUUAUCAUCCAAAAAGAGAAAGACUCGGAUGGUUUUUAUUUUUUUUUUUCCUAUUAGCGUAAUCAGUGCUAGGGUUUUGUUUUUGUUUCUUCUCUUUGGGUGUAGAUAUUAGGAAGAGACGAAGAUAGCAAUGGCAAUGAAAGUAAAAGCAGUUGACAGUCCAGAAGUGAAGGAAAGGUAUGUCCUUAGAUCGGCGUGUUUCGUUUGUGACAGUGACAGGGCUCUUUGGGCUUUUCGGAGAUUUGGGCUUCAACCUUUGUGGGCUCUACGGACACUCGGAUUCUGAAUUUUGGACUUGGUUGUUGGUUUUCAUUUCCAAUUUCAAUUUUUUUUACUUU